UUUACUGGAAUGACACAUCUUCCAAAAAUAAAGAAAUUAUUAUCUAUGUCUCCUGCAAGCAGGGAAUGAAGAACACAUUUACAAAGAAAUGCUAUUCCCCAGUGAAACUUGACGAAUUUGACUGCAGCGCGGACGAGGAAGACAACACUGAGAAAGAGUGUGGGAACAAUUGUGAUUGGUCCAAUAAAACGAAGCAAAAGGCUCACGAGACCUGUUGCUCCAAUCAAAAACUGGAAUGCUCCGGCUGCAACCAAACUUCCCUGUAACUGAAUUAACAAUACAUAUAUUAUAUAGAGGCUUGUUGUCUCAUUCGGUAACUGUUUAUCCUGAAUUUUUCACUCUUGUUAGAACUUCUGUGCAAAAGUUUAGCAGUGUUUUACUUAUGAAAAUAAAAUCAUGAUUUUAAGUUAA
Molecule: long non-coding RNA, 411 nt
Organism: Saccostrea echinata
Lineage: Eukaryota; Metazoa; Mollusca; Bivalvia; Ostreida; Ostreidae
Exons: 2
Source: RefSeq, a predicted model, not a curated record